This 501-nucleotide ribosomal RNA is filed under the name uncultured bacterium. RNAcentral describes it as "partial 16S ribosomal RNA". It matches the Rfam family "Bacterial small subunit ribosomal RNA", at positions 30 to 523 of the family's 1533-position model. The record is from RNAcentral.
AUUGAACGCUGGCGGCAGGCUUAACACAUGCAAGUCGAGCGGGGGAAGGUAGCUUGCUACCGGACCUAGCGGCGGACGGGUGAGUAAUGCUUAGGAAUCUGCCUAUUAGUGGGGGACAACAUCUCGAAAGGGAUGCUAAUACCGCAUACGUCCUACGGGAGAAAGCAGGGGAUCUUCGGACCUUGCGCUAAUAGAUGAGCCUAAGUCAGAUUAGCUGGUUGGUGGGGUGAAGGCCUACCAAGGCGACGAUCUGUAGCGGGUCUGGGAGGAUGGUCCGCCACACUGGGACGGAGACACGGCCCAGAGUCCUACGGGGGGCAGCAGUGGGGAAUAUUGGCCAAUGGGGGGAACCCUGCUCCAGCCAUGCCGCGUGUGUGAAGAAGGCCUUAUGGUUGUAAAGCACUUUAAGCGAGGAGGAGGCUACUUUAGUUAAUACCUAGAGAUAGUGGACGUUACUCGCAGAAUAAGCACCGGCUAACUCUGUGCCAGCCGCCGCAGUAA